RNAcentral lists this ribosomal RNA (377 nucleotides) under uncultured bacterium. Its description in RNAcentral is "bacterial SSU rRNA". It matches the Rfam family "Bacterial small subunit ribosomal RNA", at positions 521 to 896 of the family's 1533-position model. The record is from RNAcentral.
UAAUACGAGGGGGGCCAGCGUUGUCCGGAUUUAUUGGGCGUAAAGAGUUCGUAGGCGGGUCAGUCAGUCAAAAUUGAAAUCCCACGGCUUAACCGUGGACCCGGUUUUGAUACUGCUGAUCUUGAGUGAGACAGAGGUAAGCGGAAUUCCUGGUGUAGCGGUGAAAUGCGUAGAUAUCAGGAGGGACACCGAAGGCGAAGGCAGCUUACUGGGUCUAUACUGACGCUGAGGAACGAAAGCGUGGGGAGCAAACAGGAUUAGAGACCCUGGUAGUCCACGCUGUAAACGAUGAGUACUUGGUGGUGGGGGAUACGACCCCUUCACUGUCGGAGCUAACGCGUUAAGUACUCCGCCUGGGGACUACGACCGCAAGGUUG